GUUUGUUUACCCCUCUGCCCACUCCAGCCACGGAGCGCGGAGGGGGUCGGAGUGGGGAUGCAGCAACAACAACUAAACCACUCUGCGGGCGCCCCCCAUACCCAGGCGGUCCCCGCGGUCGCGGGGCGGUGUGAUGCCUUCCGUGGCCGCCAGGUGGCAGCGCAGGGCGGUGGAUGGACCGCGCCGGCUCGCACAGGGGCCGCCCCACCGGCGCGCUGCCCCCGGCCCCGGGCAGCCCCGCAGGGCGGGCGGGCGCUGCGCAGGGGCAUCCUGGGGGGCGUUGGGCUGCCGGGCGGCGUUGGUGGUUGCGACGGGGAGAAACGAAGUAGGCGACGCUGCGCUGACUGCAUUGUCUUUGUUGCCGGUUCGAAGAACUGCCGUUAUUUCAUUUGCAUACGGAACAUGGAGGGAUAUUUGUGUGAGCAAAGCUGGCAGUGGCAGUGGUGAUGGUUUUUACGUUUAGCUUUAGGUUUUUAUUUUCUGCGAAAUUACGUAUUUGGCUGAACUUCAAAGAAAAAAGGCCUGAAAUAAGUAAGAUCUGGUGUUUGGAUGGAAGACAGCUUUCUUAUAUAAACCAGGUUGGAUUGAUCUCUUGGACUGAAAGUUAUGCAUGUUGUUCAAAGGCGUAUGGAAGAUCUAGCAUUUUUACAUUAUGUAUUGGAGGGCAUUUGAUGGCCACCUGGAACAGAAUUUUCAGUUAAGUUUUCUCUACAGAAAAGCUGAUUGAUUUUGUUUUCAUUUUUCUGGGAGCGGGAAGUAAGAAAAAUAAUGGUUAACCUUCAACAAACCUCAUUAAAACUGCUUCAAAAAAACAAUCAAUGAGUGGCAUGGGAUGAUCAGGGAAACUUAUUCAAAAAUAUAUUUCUAUUCCAAACUACAGUUGAAGGUAAAUGUGGCCCAAGGCAACUUAGCUUGGACUAAACCUUUAUGCAAUGAAGUGUUUUUGAGAGACUGUUUUCUGAAUCUCAGUUCAAAACUGUUAUGUACUAACGCUGCUAUGGGAUUUCAAUUCAUUAUUACUUUAGUGAGUCUGCUGUAAGAACUGACUUUUAAAGUAAUUAAUAUUAUUUAUCUAUUUAAGCAAUUAAUAUAACAAACGUGCCAAAUUCUAGGCGUGAUUUCUGUGUCCACUGAUAAACCUAUUCUUGGCUUUCAUGUGACAAGAUCGAUGCCAAAAAUAUGCUAAGUCUGAUAAUGAAAAUAGAGUAUCUGGGUACUAACCACUCAUGUGUUAAGUUUUCUAUGCCCAAAAAUAAUUAAGUCGAUUGUGGCAGAAUGCAAACCCCCCUCUCUCCCCCUCCCUCCUUCAGUAUGGAAGGAGCAGACACAUCUCCCUCUCUCUCUGCUACUUGAGGCUAACAGCUUCUUUUGUUUGGCCCCAGAGCACCCUGGCCAGGGCCGUUAGGCAAAGGGAGUGCUGAGGGGCCAAUGAACCGCUGGGUGCCCGCAGCCAGUGUUGGGGGUGUUUGGAGGCUUCAGGGGCACCACACAGCCACUGUGGGGGUGCAGAGAAGCUUCUAGAAUGCCUACAGUCAGAUCUGAUCAGCCAGUAUAAAAACGGGACUCUCGUCGAGACUCCGCCCAUUGUCUCAGGUCGCUCGGAGCAUGAGCAACAUGCUGCCGCCAAGAGCCCCCCUCCCCGGCAUGGGGACUCCGCUUGCCUUGCUGCCACGUGUGUAAGUAAAACUUCUCGCAGGAUUGCGAGUAUAUUUAUAUUUUCCAUGUACAUAUGCACAUGUAACUUUUCGUGCUCAAUACGAGCACGUGUAUAAAUUAUUUCCUCGCACAAUCGCGAGUGUAUUUUCCUCCCGUGCUUCCACAUAAGCACAUGCAAUACUCUGUGCACAUUUGCAAGUGUAAGGGGGGGGGAGGGGGUUGCAUUCUGCCACACCAUCAUUCCCAAGUUGGAAUACUUAUGCUCAAAGUAACUUUCAAACUAAUGAAAAACAUACUUUCUCUCUUUUUUCUCUCUAGCUUUAUGGCAUUCCAAUAUUUUAAUGAAGAUACGCAUAGAAUUCUUAACUGUACAUUUUUCAAGUUGAUGGUAAAAUUUGUGAAAUAACAUUCAUUAUUUUUGGUACUAUUUAAUGAUAAAAUUCUCUUGCAUUGAACUUAUUCAUUCUGACAACUGCAACUACAGGAUGCAUUUUAUUUCCUAUAGUCAUUUACAGUUCUUCAGAAAAUCAACAGAAACUAAAUAUGGCAAUUAAGUAUCACAGCUGAGUUAAGCAAGAUUUUUAUUGCCCUCGAGUUAAAGUAUUUUUCAGUGUUUGGUAAACUGGUGUUUUAUUUUGCUUCGGGUUUGAUUUUUUUUUUUUUAAAGCAUUCUGGACAAAAAAGACAGAACAGUUCUUUUGCCAAAAUAAGCAAGUAUAUAAAUAAAUAAAUAAAUCUUAUAUGUCAGAGAAGUUACCAUCAGUGUUGUGAGCCAAGUGACUAAGCAAUUAUUUAUUGGGUGAAAAAAAUUAUGGCAAUUUGUCUUCUCACUUUGCAGAGGAAGUCACUCUUGUGCUGUCAUGUGCAAUUCCUUUCACACCUCUUAGAAGGCAGAUGGUAUACAAGAUUUUCUCCUGCUGCUCUAGAAGAAAAUCUGUUUUUCCAAAAAUGUGUAGCUUGUGUGUGGAAAUACCUUCUCUUACUCACCCAGGAGAUGGAGAGUACAAGGAGCUACAACUCUACCCAUCGCUCUUCUGUGCCUUCAAAGCAUUUUUAAGAGACAGUGACCUUUAGAACUUGCAAUAUUGUGUCUUUUUGAUAAUGGGAAUUUUUCCUUAUUAGCAAAAGAACAGAACAAUUCAAAGUGGUUUCCAAUUGUGAAAGUACAUUGUGAAUCAGAAAGAACACAAUGUACAAGGUCAAAAUUCCAUCUGGUUUGUUGGAGCAAGAUGGGUGGCAUUCAUGAGAUAACAAGUUUCAUUUCAUCUUGAUUGUGUUUCAAAAGGUGUUAUAUUUAGAGUAGUUUUUAAAAAUGUAUGGUCUUGUAAAUGUGCAUAUAUGCUUUCCAGAAUACUUUACUUAAAAUAAACUAGAAAAUAUGGCAUUUGGAGGCUACAAUUUUUUAACAGAAAACUAAAAAUGUUUAGUUAAAUGCUAAAAGAAAAAAAUCCUUUAUUAACACAAAGGAACAUCUGAAAUCCUCUAUCUGCCUGCAAAAUUAUAAAGAAUUAUUUGAAAGCAGUAUAUGAAAACUGCAAUAUUUACACAGAUAUUAAUAAAUACAAUUAUGUGUAGUAUAGGAAAAAAAAAUCUAUCUAAUGUCUUAAAAACCACUUCAGAAAAUGGCAUUAUAUUUGAGCACUUAAAUACACAGAAAUUUCAUUUUGGAAACAGAGGCAGAAAAACAUCCUACUUGGUAGAAUAUUUCAAACUUUAAUUUAUUGCCAAAAUAUCCCAGCUUUAAUUAAUAUUUUAAAAUAUUUAGACCCAGGAUCUGAUACUACUGUGAACACCUGUUGUCUCUCACUAAAUUACAUUAUUAGCAUAAAACGAAUGUUGAGACAUUUUCUUUACCAAUACAAAUUACUGGAGACUUAAACUAGUUGUAGGCAUUGAAAUGCGAAUUCUUUUCUUCACAGUAAAUACAUUAGUUAAACCAAUUUUUUUCAUACUAAAUUAGCAAAAACAUGUAUUUUAAGACAUUUUAAGAAUUAAAAACAAAACAAGACAAUCCAAAACCCGAAAAACAGCCCUUACAAAUCAAAUCAAAACUGAAAUGGAUAGUUGAAACUACUCUGAGAAAACAAAAAUGUAAGAUACUCCUGCACUUUAAACAUUGUGAACAGUGUUCUGUAAUCCAGCAAGCAGAAUUAAGGUAGUACCUCUCCUUUACACUUCAGCUUACUUAGUUAUCCACAAUGUUUUCUCUUAUAACUGGACUCUGAAAGCAGUAUUAAUAUAUUGCUUUUCUUUUUGUACAGUAUGGGCUUCUGGCAUACUGUAUUACAGGUGAUGAUGUACUUAUAGAGUUAAACUUGUGUAACAGCUCUGAAGUACUUAAGUGAGACUAAUCAAAAUAAAAUAUUUAAUUGCAUGAAUGGAUGUGUUCAGUGUCAAAUUUCAUGUUAACCAUGGCCAAGUCAUCCCACAGAAGAUUGACACCUGAAAAAGAAAUGUAAGAGACUGUUACUUCCUGGAUAAAUGGAGGAUGCAUUGUCAAGAAUCUCUGAAAUGAAACUGCACUAAAAUGAAAAGGCAAAACUAGAGUGUUUGCAUGAUGUGUGACAUCAGGGGAAAGUGGUCCCCCUUUGAAAAUAUUAUCUGGAAAAUUUUGUCAAAAAUACAGGAAAGUGAAAAAGGCUUAAGGCUUAUAGAUCAUGUCACAGUCCUCUUUAUUAAAUUUAUUCAGAAACUGAGCAAAUCAGAGUUUAAGCUACUACAGGUAGGUCGUCCUGAAGUGCUAGCACUUUGCUACAUCUUGUUCUUUUGCAAAGAGCACUGUGUGUGCUGCACCUGUGUCUAGACUGUCAAAUUUUAAUCUGAGGGGAUGAUAGUUACCAUCCACUGAUGUAUUUUCUGCAGAAAUUCCUUAUUAGAUCAGGCACACUGCCUUUCCGUCAGAGAGAGGUGACAUUCAAGUGUCUUUAGGACUAUUAAAAACAUGUGUUUCUUUUUCAAACAAAUACAUUUGCAGAUCUGCAUGUGGUUCUUUAAUCUAGUAUUCAUUCUCUGUAAAAAUAGUCAAAUUAUGUUAUAUCUCUUUCCAUCUGUAACAGGAUCACACGGAAUAUCCCAGUGGCUGAGAACCAACUUCUGUGAAGCAUCCUUUCUAGGGCACUUCGAGACACCAGACAGGAUGCCCCUGGAUGCUCUGUGCCAUGAGCGUGAACUGUCAGGACAAAUAGAUGGGUCUAACAGGCAGAGGAUUGGGAGAGCUCAGGGAUUUGGGGAUUUCCUGUCAUAGCCAUAAUGCUAGACUGCUAGUAUUUCUAUGACAACAUGAUAUAUUUGUUAGAAGUAUCCACUGGCUGUACCAUACUUACCUACCAGUUACCUCAUAAUUGUAGUGGUUUACUACUAUAUUUUAUAGUUAUAGUUGAACGUUGCUAAAUGGUAGUUUUAAGCACUUCAGCUGUGCUUGUUACACAAGCUAUGGAUCAAUGGAAACUACUAAAAAUCAUAUUAUAUACCUUAUGCAGUCAAAACUUCUUUCCUUACCAUAUAAUACUUCUGUAAACUUUUCCCUUACUGAACUUCUAUCUUUGUUUAAUAUGCUGUAAACUCUUUUUCCCUGCUUAUACAUUCCAUACACAAUACAUAACUGUAUCUGCAUACUUUAUAAUACAGAAACGUGCAUACGGACACCAAUUGCUAUUUAUAUCUCCUGUGAGAACAUGUUUCUUGUAAAUAUUGGUCACUGAAUGUGGACAUGAAUCUCACAUGUAACUCUUAGUCCAGGGGUUUGUGGUGGUACAGACCUUCCCAUAGGGCCACCUAGCAAUCUCAAAACAAGCCAGCAUCAUGUUCUCAAGUGUUCUUGCUUUAAUCACAAGUACAGUGAGUAAAAAUGAACAGGCACUCCUCAGUGACCACAAAGCAGGCCAACAUUGUUCUUGAGAGUGAGAUGGGACAAUUAGGUGCCUCCUAAUUGCACCUGAAACGCCUGCUAACUGGAUCAUUGCCCAAACUGGGAAGUACCAGGUAAGCCUAAGGCAUGUUGUGGCCAGAAUGAAAAAAUACUGGCCAAAGUCAGUCACUUCACAACCCCAUAAAUAGUCAUCCUGAAGUGAAACCCUUUGAGCUUUCUGGGGUUGCAGUGGGCUGUGACCCAGUAUCUUCCCCUGACUGGGACACUUUCAGGGCUGAGUUAGUGAAGAUUUAAUGACUGUUUAUUGAUGAUUUUAUGAGGAUCCAAAGGCCAAUUCCACACAGUCUGAUGGUCAUCUACAGAUGAAUGUUGACAUGUAAAAGUGAGUAAUUUGUAAAAAUCACAAAAGGGAAAUUUUAAUUGUAGAUUAACCUUUUUUUGUGUGUGUGAUUUGAUUUCAGACUGUUUUGUCUAUUUGUCUUUGUGUGUGUGUUUUAAUUUACUUCUUUUGUGUAUGAGUAUUUUAGUUAAGGAAACCCUGUUGUAACUUUAGCAUGAACCUUACCAUUUACAAAUCUUUAAUUAAGUUGCUAUUUUGAUUGAUUAUAAUGAAUUUAUUUGAAUCACUCUAUUAAAUUGGCUGAUGAUUAAGUGCUAUUAAUAAUUAUACAGCCUAGCCUUGUAAUCUGUCACAAAGUAUUAAUAGAUUCUAAAUUGCUGUUAAAUCAAAGCCAUGCAUAAAUUCCACUUGUGACAGGGUUGACCCACCUGUUGUGAUUGAAGAUUUGUUGUAUCUCUGUGUGGUAAAAGAUCUCUGAAUAAAAAUGACAAGAAUGGGAGAAUCACAUCACUCACUAUAACCCUCCCUUUAGAUCCUUCUGUUUGCAAAACUUGAACAGUAUAAAAGCAGCCUGCAAGCAGGAUACACACAAUUUAAGGGCAAAAGAACUGGGAAUAAAACCACCUAGGACUAACCAGCUACCAUGCAAAGCAUUACUGCACUCACCAUGCAAGUGACGCUACUAAUACAUCAUUGCUGAUGAAAGUCUUCAGUCAGCAGGGUGAAGGUCAGCCUCUGUUAAUGUUUGAAACAGUCUGAUCCUCAUUGCUCCUUAGUUGCUACCUCCUGAUCUUCUGUUUUAAUGUAAUUUUUUUUUUUCCCUUAGGGAUUUAUACCUUUCAAUGGCAGUAAUUUUUAUCUUGAAUACUGUAGUUGCUAUUAUUAAUUAAGCAGUUAUACUUCUGUCUGUGUUUUUACUUAUUCUGAAAGGCUUAACUCAUAUGCUCCCACAUGUUAACAGCUCAUGUUCUCAUUAAAAUUAGCCAUGGUCACACAGCUGUGCUGUAUCAGAUGACUCCAUGAAUUCCAGGUAGAUGAAACUCUUUGGAUGAGAGUCAAAUGAUGGAGUUCAAUGUAGUUGUCAAAAUAUAGCUCUCUGGAUUUGAAGAGAUGUCAUUUAAAGAUGUGUAAAUUUAGAUGCAUUCCUGGCCUGUAUCUGCAGUAGAGGUGUCUCAUAGAUCAUGCAUCACAUUUGGCAACGACAUGUGGGUGUAUAUGAUGAGUUAGAGUGUUUUAAGUGGCUCUCAGUACCUAUGUUUAAGUAAUUGAUUCGUGUCCAUUGUGUCAGAUGAAGGAUUUGACCAGUCCACUGUUGGGUCACAGUGAGUCUUUAGUGGAACCUACUCAUGGAAUGUAAAUUUUUCUCUGUAGAAGGUUUUAUAAGCAUGUACUACUUGCUGUUACAGUCACUUAUUUCAGGACCUUGGAUUGCAUGCUUUUCACAGAAAAGUGAUUCCAGAGUAAGGAAACUUAACUCCUAAAAGUCUUUUAUCCCAUGUGUUCCUCCAGAAAUUUUAGCAAAUGGUGGGCUAUAUUUGAAGUCCUCUAUUGGAAGCUCAGUGAGCUUACCAUGUUUUAGGAAUUCAUUAUUUUAAUGAGGGUGUCUGUGCCAGUCCUGUGGUAAUUUUAGACUCCUACUAGGUGGUAAAAAAUCAAUUGGUGUGGGGAAGUCCCCUAGAGGAAUACUGGAUCUGGAAUAUUGUAAUGCCUUCUCACAAAGUAAUUCUUUAGUUUCUGGGAGGACAUUUACUUGGUUGGCUCUGAAUGUAGCAUUUUCCACAGCUUUACUGUUUCAUUUUUAUUGUUUCAUUGAUUGGAAGAGACUCAAUCUUUUAUACUGUAAGACUCUGCAAAACUAUUGGGACAGGGCAAUUGAGGUUAUUAUGACCUAAAUUUCAGUUUGUUCUCUCCCGUGGGAGUAGGCUGACAGUGGUAACAGGAUGGGAGAUUCUCCUUCUGUCAGAAUCUUCAAGACACCAGCCUCCAGAAUCUCCAGGAUGAGAGUGUCUGUAUGUACCCUGAGCUAUCCUAUGUUUCUUGUACACAUACUUAAGUGGAUGAGUAUCACUUUUUUUUUUUUUUUUUUUUUUUUUUUUUUUUUUUCAAAUAGACCCUAAACUUUUGCAAGGUUAAAGUUGAGUGCUAAUUUCAGUCAGCCUGUUGAGCAGGCUGAACCCCAAAAUCAAGACGAUGCCAGCAGUUGCCAUGUUUUGCUGUUAACAGGAACAGUUUUUUUGAGGUUAGCUUGCUAUCCCAUCCAAAUUAAUUUCAGCAGGGCAGUAUUAUUCAGGUCCUACCCUGCCUCCAUUGUGAAUUAACAGCUUCAGAGAGAGAGCUAAGUGCAUAACGUUGUCAGCAGUCAUUUAGUUGAAGGUAAGCAAAAACAGAGGAUGACACCAGACAUCAGAGCCCUUAUGGUCAAAGAAUGAGGUCUCUGAAUGACAAGAACCAUAUCUAGUUGUUCAUAGAUCCCCUUUUUACACUUUUCUCUCAGAUCAAUGAAGCAGAAAUACUAAGCCCUUUCUAAAUUCUCCUAACAGAAAUGAAUCUCUUCCAUACUCAUGCACAAUGAAACAAGCACACUCAAUCUCUUCUCCACAUACAUAUAAAUUAGAUAUUUAGCUUUGUUUCUGAAGUUUCAUUAACCUUUGUGAGUGUAUUUUCCUUCACCAAUUAAUUCAAUAAUGUAGUGGUUUGACCCUGGCUGGAAGCUAGGCCCUACACAGCCACUCACUAUCUUUCCCUGCUGCCAGUAGGAUGGGGGGAGAGAACAAGAAGAGCAAAAGAUUCCUAGACUUGUAGGUUAAGAUAAAAACAGCUUAAGUGAAAGGAAGAGGAAAAGAAAGGAGAAAACCAAACAAAACAAGUGAUGGAAAAACAAUCACUCACUACUUCCCACAGUAGGCUGAUGCCCAUCCAGUCCCCAAGUAAUGGCUGCCUACCCAAAAUCUUCUUCUCUUCCAGUUUUUAUAGCUGAAGAUGAGUCUAUGGCAUGGAGUACCUCAUUGGUCAUUUUAGAUCAGUUUUCCUGGUUAUGUCUGCUCCCCACUUUUUGCCCACCCCCAGCCUACUGUCAGGAGCCAGAGGGCGUGGAAGGGGUGGACAGCAUGAAAAGCAGAGAAAGCUUUGACACUGUAUAAGCACUGUUCAGCAGUAGCUAAAAUAUGCGUGUGCAAUCAACACUGUUCUGAUCAUGUACCCAAAACAUUGCACUGUAAUGGUCUGCUAUGAAGAAAAUUAACUCCAUCCCAGCCAGACCCAGCAAAAAGAAGAAAAGGUAGACAUGGCCUUCUUUGCAAAACUGGCAGAAACCUCGAAUUUGCAGGUCCUCGUCCUCAUGGAUGACUUAAUCCGAAAAUCUACUGUAAGGCCGACAUAGCAAGCUGUAAGCAAAGCAGGGAGUUUGUGGAGCAUGUUGUUGACAACUUCUUGACACAAGAGAUUAAGGAACUGACAAAGUGAGACACUGCUGGAAUGCAUUUUUACAAGGAACUGGUCAGGAAGAUGAAGAUUAGAGACAGCUUUACCUAAAGUAACCAUUUUAUGGUGGAGUUCAACAUCCUGAGAAGAGGAAACAAAGCAAGUGGCCGAAUCAUAACCCUGGACAUCAGGAGAGCAGACUUUGUGGACCGGCUUGGAAAAAUCCUGGGGAAAAGCUGGUUGAGGGGUGCCUUCUCCAAGCUCAGGAAUGAUACAUUCCAACGAGCAUGAAAGCAAACAUCUUUUCAAUAUCUUCAUUAACGAUCUGGAUGAAUGGACAGAAAGCACCCUCAGCAGGUGUGCAAAUGAUAACAAACUAGGAGGAGCAUCUGAGAGAUCAAAAGAUUGUACUGCCCUUCAGAAGGACCUCAACAGGCUUGAGACAUGGGCCAAAAGGAGCAUCAGGAAAUUCAACAUUACAAAUGAAGUACUGCCCCUGAAAAAGAAUAAAUCAAUGCACUAGUACAAGUUGAGGUCUCACUGACUGGAAAGGGCCUGGGGUUAUAGUGGACAGCAAGCUGAACAGGAACCAGCAACAGGCCUUUGCAGCAAAAAAGAGCAACAACCCUUCUUCCUUGGCUACACUAGAAGGAGUGCCAGAAGGUCAAGGAAGGUGAUUUUUUCCUCUUUAUUCAGCCUUGGUGAGAUACAUUUGGAGUAAUGUGUCCAAUUAUUGGCUCCCCAAUACAUGAAAGACAUGGACAUGCUGGAGUAAGUCCAGCAAAAGACAACAAAGAUGAUAAAAUAAUAGAAAAUCUGUCAUUGUGAUUGUCCCCCUGUACUCAGCACUGGUGAGGCCACACCUUGAAUACUCUGUUCAGUUUUGGGUCCCUCAUUACGAGAAAGACAUUGAGGUGCUGGAGAGACUUCAGAGAAGGGCAAUGAAGCUAAUGAAAGGUCUAGAGCGCAAGUCUUACGAGGAGCGGCUGGGGGAUCUGGUGUUGUUUGGCCGAGAGAAGAGGAGGAUGAAGAGACACCUCGUCGUGAGACAGGUUAGUUUUACUCUACUGAUGAUGUGUUGUUGCAAUAGUAACACUGCUCAGUACGAGAGGAACUGCAGGUUCAGAUCCCUGGUGCGUAUGCUUGGCUGAGGAGCCACUGGCACGAGGCUACCAUCUGCGGGCUUAUGACUGAAUACCUCUAAGUCAGAAUCCUGCCUAGAUGUAGCGAUACCGCAGUGCCAUGGGUGCCUCAGUGGGCUCACGAUAGCCGGCUGUCGCCCCUGCCGGGGGCGGGCCCAGUGUGGAGUGCUGCUUGUGUUCUGGACCGGAGGGCUGGAUAUAUGUGGCAUCACCUCUCCCUCGAUGCAUACCAUGUGAUCGUGGGGCACCUGGCACUAAAUCAUUCAUAGAUGACCUGAUUCUGGGUCAGGGUUUCAUACGUAGCAGAGCAGCUCCCUCACUGUGAUCUAUUGAGAAUCAGCCCUCAACACAAGCUCUUGUUGAGGGAGCUGGGUCUCUUUAGUUUGUAGGAGACUGAGGGGUGACCUUAUUAAUGGUUACAAAUAUAUAAAGGGUGAGUGUCACGAGGAUGGAGCCAGGCUCUUCUCAAUGACAACAAUUCAAUGAUAGGACAAGGGGCAAUGGGUUCAAAUUGGAGCACAAGAGCUUCCACUUAAAUCUGAGAAGAAACUUGUUCUCAGUGAGGGUAACAGAACACUGGAACAGGCUGCCCAGGGACAUUGUGGAGUCUCCUGUUUGGAGACAUUCAAAACCCACCUGGACACAUUCCUGUGUAGCCUCAUCUAGGUGUUCCUGCUCUGGCAGGGGGAUUGGACUAGAUGAUCUUUUGAGGUCCCUUCCAAUCCCUAACAUUCCCUGAUUCUGUGAUUAUGUGACCUUAUCGCUCUCUAAAACUACCUGAAAGGAAGUUGUAGCGAGGAGGAUGUUGAUCUCUUCUCCCAAGGAACAAGUGAUAAGACGAGAGGAAAUGGCCUCAAGUUGCUCCAGGGGAGGUUUAAAUUGAAUAUUAGUGAACUUUUCUUCAUUGAAAGCAUUGUCAAGCAUUGGAACAGGCUGCCCAGGUAAGUAGUGGAGUCAGCAUCCAUGGAGGAAAUUAAAAGAUGCGUAGGUGAGGUUCUUAGGGACAUGGUUUAAUGCCUGUGUUAGGUUCAUGGUUGGACUCUAUGAUCUUGAGGUUCUCUUCCAACCAAAGUGAUUCUAUGAUCUGUGGAGAGGCUGAGAGAGCUGAGACUGUUCAACCUGGAGAAGAAUCAGGAGGUACUGAAUCAGUGUGUAUAAAUACCUGAUGGCAUGACAUAGAGAAGACAAAGUCAGACUCUUCUCAGAGGUAUUCAGUGACAGAACAAGAGGCAAUAAUCUGAAACUGAUCUACAGGCAACCCUGUUUAAAUGUUUAAAAAAAAAAUCACAACAGGAUUAGUCAAACCCUGGAACAGUUUGCUCAGAGACGUGGUAGACAUCUCUGGAGCCAGGCAAAACCUGCCCAGCCACAGUAAGUGUCCAGCAAGCUGAGCAACCUGCCCUAGGUAACCCUUCUCUGACCAGGGCAAUUAGACCAGAUGAUCUCCAUAGGUCCCUUCUGAGAUCAGAAAUUUUGUGACUCUAGUUUUCCACAGGGUCAGAUAUGUACAGUGGAAGGUUGUUCUUAAGGCUAAGAACCAAUUUUCCUUGAAAUAAAUUCUAUAUUUUUUUUUGCAUCUGCUGUCAUUGUACACCUCCUUGAGACUUCUGCUUCUUCAGACUUGAGCCUUUCAGGCAGCUUUCAGUCCCCAGCCAUUUAUCCUGAGAACAUGACCCAUACUUCUCCCCAAGGGAGGGAAAAGUGUGCAAAGGGUCCCAUGAAUAUCUACAGAGAAAAGUAAGUAUGCUACUUGAAAUUGGAAUAUAAAUAUUUCUUUAUCCAAUACACACAAAUAUAAGCCAGUAUUGCUUCCCUUUCCCUAAAAGACUUAAUCUAAAGGCUAGAAACAGACAAGGUGAGUGGGAUAUAUGCAUAGAUUCUAGCAGCCAACGUUAGGCAAGUUUAGGAUAUCUAUUGAAGCAAGGGUCUGCAUGUUGUCAGAAGCCCAAACUUCUAGAACCCAGCACAGCUCAGAUAACUAUGUGCAUGCAUGCUGGGGUGCAUCGGAACAACACAUUUCAUUAUGAACCUUGAUCUGCCACACUUGGGGAUUUUUUUAAAGUUAAAUAAACAUUUUUUUGCCACUGGCUUUUGACUGUGAUCCAAGUACAUAAAAGUGAACAACCUUAUUUUCUCAGAUUCCUAGUCAUGCCUGUGGGCCUUUCAGUCAUGAUCACAUUUUUAUAGAUGUUAACAACAGGUCAGCAAAAUAACCAGCUAGCAGAAUAACAAAUAGGAUGCUCUGCAGCCUGCAGGAAUAACAAACAUUUUUGCGGAAUGCAUACAGACAUAUUCACAGAUACAGUGUUUGAGGUGUGUUCAUGGGCGUGUUGUAUGAAAGAAGGGAAGUGUCCUGUGAUGCCUUAUACUGUUGGAAGUGAAAUAGUUUGGGAGAUUGAGUGGGAUGUGUUAAACUAACUUUUGCACUAUCCGUAUUUUUUUGUAGGGAGCUAACAAUAUUUGUGAUUGCUUUUUGAUUUUCUCCUGAAGGAAGCUUUCUGAUUUACCAAAAAUGAAUCUACAGGAACAAUCUAGCAUAAUCUCAGUGCAAAAGAGCUAGGGACCAGACCUCUAGGGUGAAACACAGAGUGACCAUAUUGACAGUAAAAACACACUUAAAAUCCAUUGACAGUAAUUUCAUUACUCUCUUGUAAUGAAUCAAGUAAAUUGAAAAGAAUACAUGACUGCAGUAGUAGCUUUUGUAUCACUCACUGAGCAUACUGGAGAGCAAAGACAUAAUUACAAAGAAAAAUAUAUGGCACAGAUAUCAUGGUAAAAAACAAAGGAAACUAGAGAAUAGGACCCUCAGGGCAAUUUUCACUUACAGACAUGAAGCAAAGGGAAAAGGGAGGAGGUAAAAAAAGCACAUGAAUAUCCAUGAAAGAAAACCUACUUGUUACCUGUUUAGGUGGCAGUUCUUGUUAGUUCCUUUUCUGGUAAAAUAUUGUUUUACUUUUACAUUUUGAGUAAGCUUUCUCAAGCUAAAUUCAACUACUACCCAAGUCCUUCUGGCCUUCAUCAAACCUCCCCUGACUGUGAAAAGAAAUAUUCACAUGAACGAAAAGGGCUCUUGUGGAGGCACUCACGUAUCUCACCACUGUUGAGUGGUCCACUUAGCAUCAUCUGUCAAGUAUGUGAUUAUAAACAGGAGGGUCUGCAUGCAUGGGACACCCAAAAUUGUCUGAGAAGGUUUAUGCCUAAAAUUAUCAUGUUAGAGAGGAAGAUGACCAGCAGGAUUAAACAGCAACCAGGAAAGGACAGACACUUCUGAAGAGGUCAGUCUUAGAUGUAUGAAGGAAGCACGGAUAUGUGUGACAUAGGGAGAGACAGUGAAGAGGAAGCAUCAGGCAUCAGAGGGGUCUGUCCCUGCUGGCAGUGUUCCCAGGACACCCUGACCUCUGCCCAGACCAGGCAGCUCAGCCUCCCUGUGGGGUGCCAGGAGCAGCCGUCACCCAGCAGUGGGCUGGCAGAGUGGGGGCAGCACAUAGGGACCUCACCUUGAGGUGCAGGGACACCUGCCAGGUGCCUCCUCACUAUCGGGCCUGUCAGAAGUGACAGAGAUGCAUGCUAAAGUGGGGAAGAGGUGAUUACAAGAUUACAACCCCUACAUCCAGAGGGAGUGUGUAUGCUGAGUUUAGACCUUUAUAGGAUGAGCUAUACAAAGCUGUUUAUAAAUGUGUAGGUAUUUAUUAGCAUCUUGUAAUUUAUGUAUAAUUCAGAUUAAGCUCUUGUAUUAAGGAUAUUGGUUCUGCAUAUGUAGUUCAUGGAUUGCCAGUUAGUUACAAGUCAUUAAUAAAUCAAUAAACUGUUUCAGUACUGAUUUCAUUCAAACCACAGCAGCUGAGCAGUCUUUUCCUUGUCACUGAAUAGUAAAAGUAAUGAUCUACACUCUCAAAAGGACAUGUAUUUUUUAAUGCCCUCUGAUUAAAAGAGCAACUUGCUGGUGCCACUUGCAAACUGCAUCAAUAAACUGUGUGAUAGCAUGCCUUACUUCUAAAACCUCUGAAUGAAGUUUUAUAGCCAUAUUGUCUUUAAAUCCUUAACUCAGAAUUCAAGAAAGCACUUAGAGUCACUAUUUAUUUAUUUAUUUAUUUAUUUACAUAUUUAUCAGGUUUCCUUGCAGUCUUUGGAGCUUAAUGAGGAUCUAGAUACAAUGAUUCCUCAGAAAUAAUCUCUACGCAGUUUAACAGUGCUUUAAAAAAGUCUGCUUUGCUUUUAGCUUCCUAGCUUUCCACCCUUCAUCCCAGAAUAUGGAGCUACAGUAGAAAGUAGAAAUCUAUCUUCUCAGUGUUCCCUUGCUUUCCCUGUCCUUUCUGAUGCAGAUCACUGUAGAUGGAUGUCAUGCACUCUCCUUGGACAUACUUUGUAUAGAGCAAUAUGUGCAUUUUAACAAAUUGCAGGCACCUCAAAUACAAUAGCAGGCUCAAAGGUUGUUUUCCACCUUGAGCUCUGUGAGCUCUGCAACACUUGGGAAAAGUUACAAAAAGCCAAAUCUAGAGGAUUAUUUUCUUUAGAGCCCAUCUGACUGUUAAUGGGAAAAACAUUGUCUUCUGGAAAAUAAAAAAAAAGGCAGUCAAAAUGGAGAUGACACUCAGAAGAACUAUAUUUGGAACAACAAGUAUGUCGAUCUUGAAAUUCUGGGGCUGUUGAAAAAAUACACUCUUCUACACACAAUCUUUAUACUGUGGUUCCCCAUAUUAUAGUACAUGACAUUCUUUCUACAAUGUGAUAGGAUAAACAACAGUGCAAUAAGUGAUUGACAGCCUGACAUGGUCUUUGUGUAAUGCAAAUUGACACUUAGGUUAUGGUAUCCCUGUUGGUAUGUGGUGCAGUGACUUUAAGGCACAUCACACUUGCUAUCCUAAUGCAAUAUUACCACUGUGUUUACCUGUUUUCAAUCACAUGGGGAAAAAUAUAGCAAGGUCUCAUCUCAAGAGACAAAAAUAUCCCUUUGUUAAGGCCCCAGAUGUGCCUCUCAGGAGCCACUAUUAUUUCUCUUUUUGAUCCAGAAGUCAAUACUCCACACCACCAUUGUUUGUAGAUGGAAUUCAUAUCAAAUAUCUUUGAAAACAGUGGAGAAAAAAGAGAUGUGUACUAUCUCCACCUGAGCCAGUUUGAUGUUUGACAAACAUUAAAUCUUUAAGGGGUGGGUUAUCUCAUGCGUUAUUUGAAUUGCCCGUUGGAGGUGCCUGUCACUUUGUUUUGACAGAAAUGGAGCUUUAACUAACAAACUCCUGCAGUUGUUGCCUCUCUUAAGUGGCUAAAGCAAGAUGAAAUCUAGGCUUAGGAUUUGAGCAGUAUAAAUUUAUCCAUGUGCAAUCUAUAAACUGGACAAAUCGAUAAAUCAAUUCAUUUUUUGCUUUCAUGUUUUGAUUCCACCUUAAGUACUUUUAUUUAAUGCUUAAAUACAAAUUAUGUAUAUAUUUAAACAAUAGACCAUAAAAAUGUUUUUUGUUAGAAUUUGUUUUCAAAUGCACAACUUUGUCCCUCUUCCUGUCAUUUAGAAUAAUCUACAUUCUUCUUAGCCACCUAGCAUGUUUGUAUAUAGCUUUAAAACCUGAGACUUGCCAAUCUGUGUCGCUGAAAUGAUAGGAGAAUAGCGAAAGAAGUCACAUUAUAUUUUUAUGUCUUUAUUUUCAAAAGAUACAGUCAGAUAAUAAGGUGGAAAAUAGCUAAAUGCUAAAGAAGGUGGAUUUGUUUGUUUUUUUUAUUCCUAGGUUCCCCAUAGCAGAGACUCAGACAUUGAUUCCAGAAAUUAUUCUAAAAUAAAUAAUUGAUUUGCAAGGUACAGUUAGAGCUGCUCGAGUUGUGUGCCUCCUGAAGAGGGACUCUCAGUCAAAAAAAAAAACUUGGACAAUUAUAGCCCCACAACCAAAGCUCCCACCCUUUGUGUGUAACUCUCAGCCAACUGCAAAGAGUCUGGAGACUCCCUGUUCUUCAUCGGAUCUCUUAAUUUUCAUGAGGUGGUCUGUCACUUGAGGUUCUGACCUUCAGUUGCUAUUUUGCACCUGCAGCUGAAGAAAAUAAGUUCUUGACAACAGCCAAAACAUUCUUCUGUUUUGUCUUCUGUUACAUGAAGUUCUGUUCCUUAUCGCCAGGUAUGCAGUUCCCCUUAUCUUCUAGCUUGAAGACUCCAAGGCCUUUGAUACUUAAUGAAGCUGAAAUUUUAAAGUUUCACAGGUUGCAGAAGUUAUGCUAAGUUAACUUACUUAUGCUAAGCUAAUUCUAUAUAAAGAGUUUCUAAACAAGUUCUACAAGAAGCAGUAUACCGAAUAAUUCAAUAAGCUAAGACUGUCUAUUCCUAACACUAAUCCAAAUGGACUCUUGGCUUCUUACUAUUUUUCUAAGAAUAUCAUUCAUGAGACAAGCAAUAAUAGUGAUAAAUAUCUACUAUUUCCCCAUAUGGAGGCUAAAAGGAAAAUGCACGUCAGAGGAUUAGGGUUUUUUUGAAUACCAUUAAAGAUGUAUCAGUUUGUUAAUUUUUACUGUAAAAUGAUAAUGACCCUCCUCAAACACUUCACUAAUUUGACAUUCUGGUCUGGUUCGUAUUUUCAUAUUGCUCCCGAUGAAGUGAGUCCAGUGGAGGGUCACUGACAUGAUUAGAGGGCUGGAUGACAUGAAAUACAAAAGAGGCUGAGAAAAAUGAGUUUGUUCAGCCUGCAGAAAAGAAGGAUCCAAAGAGACCUUUUUGGCUCUCUACAACUACUUAGUGUUUGGGAGAGGUAUAGAGGAAAAAAAAAGAGCCAGUCUCUUCCAGAGAUGUGCUGUGGAAACACAAGAGGCAGAUGACCCAAGCUGGAACAUGGGAAAAUUUGAAUCUGUAAGCAAACAGUUCUUCUGCAUGUGGGUAGUAAAAUGUGCAUGCACUUUUUCCAGAGAGGCUGUAGAGAAUCCAUCCCUGUAGUUAUUCAAUACUCAACUGUUCAGGGCCCUGAGCAAUCUCAGUGGCUGACUCUCCUUUGAGUAGGAGGUUGGUUCGUCUAGGGACCUAGAGAGGUCCCUUCCAACCCAGAUUAUCCUGUGAUUCUGUGAUCAUCAUUAAAAUAAAUUCUACUUACCUGAGUGUAUGCUAUGCCCUACUCACAUGCAGCUUCCACAGUGCUUUGACAAAGUGGUAUGUAGAUUAUACGAUUACUUCAUUAGAAAACAAAUAAAGAGAUAAGCAGCAAUGUAAUAGACUGAAAUUUAAGACCUCUUUUUCACUCUUGGGUUCAUGAUCAUGUACUUGAGCUGUGUUGUUUGCAUGGGAAUCUCUAUGGUCAUGAUUUUGUGUCCACUUAACUAGUACCUCCUUCACAGAGAGAGAAAAUGUAGGUGAUCUGGUAGUCCUUUCAAAUAUUAAACAAGACUUUUUUUUCCUCUCUUUAUUUUUUUUUUUUUUUUUUUAGUAUAAUAUUUCAAAAUACUCUCCUGACAGAGUUUUCCAAGGGGAUAUAAUCUCUACUCCAAAAAUAAUUUAAUUAAUAGUCUGACUGGUAUUAAAGUUUGGAGUGAAGAAAUCUAGCAAAGAAGGAGAAAAAUCAGGGUGGUGUGGAAUAUGUAACAUCUUUUGCAAACAUCUUUUUUCAAGUGCAAAUCAUAUUUUACUGGGCAUGUGCACUUGUGAUGUGUAAGCACUUCUCCUUAAUGAAUAAAAUGAUUCUAUGUGUUUAAAAUCUGUUUCUCAGCUCCUCAGAAUCUUAAUUAGACAUAUUCACCAAAUAUAACAGGCAAAAUGAGUUUCAGACAGGACCUGUUGACACUUUGCUUUUGUGGUGUUUUUUGUUUGGUUUUUAUUGCUGUUUUUGUUUUUCUUUCUUUCAGGAACAAGCCAUUAUUGUGUUGAAAUAAAAAAAAAACAAGGCCUUGGGAUUUAAUAAGCAACUUGCUUCACUGUCUCAAAAUAUAAAACCAUAAAAGCUCCUUAUUGUCUUUACCCAAGGACAAUUCCUUGUUUAAUGGUUCAGAUUUUCUUUCCUCAGCCAUUUGGAAGCCAUUUAUGAUUUAUUUUUUUUAUUUUUUUUUUCAGGAAUGUUGUUUGUAUUUUAUUUCUAAUUUUCUAUGGGAAACUCCCAAAUAUCUCAAAAAUGACUUACAUAAACCAUUACUGCUCUGGUGUAUGCCUAACAUACAUAAUCAUGUUGGUUUUACAGCUCAAAAUAUUCUAGACACACUUGUCUAAUUACUUCAUAAAGUAAUUAUGUACAGUAAUCAUUCUAGCAGAUUUUAUGUGGGAGCGUACGUACUUUGAAUGGCUUUUAAUUUCAUUAUAAUGAAGUAUAAUAAUAAUAAAGACUGCUCAUAAAGGUUCAUAUAAAGGAUCUGUCUCCAUUGUACCUGACUCCAAUAUGAGCAGCAGUGAGAGGAUGAUCAUUCCCACCCACUCCCUUUAUCAUUGCCAGCAGAAACCACUCAUUGCCACACAAGCAGAAUCCUUUGUUACUUGCAGCUCUACCUCCAUUUUCUCCUGAUGAGUGCAUGUGAGAGGACCAGUAAUUCUGGACUGUGUCAGCUUCAUUGAUCUGCUGAAACCUGCAUCAUCACUGGUGAUAUUUCCACCAAAACUACCACCUGAGUACACCUACUCUGGACUGUAACUCUUCAGUUUGUUAUAUCACAAAAGCCAAGGACUAUACCUAAUGCCACUUUGAUGGCAAAAGAGGAAGCUCCUGUGGGGUCCAUUACACCUCAUCACCUGAUUCACAAAGGAGACUACCUGCAGACUAUUGCACCCUCACUACUCUCGACAAUGUACAUGCUGACACUGAUAUGGGUGAUGGGGCCAUGGCUGGGUGAACUCUUACUGGUAGAUUUUGUCUCAUUCUUUCACGCUUAGUCAUAACAGAGAGUUUCAGCUCCACCUUCCUCCAACAUAUUGCUGCUUUGCAAGACCAAACUCUCUGCCAUCUUGGUAUUCACACUUCUGUCUGAGACCACGCAAACAUGUCAGUUUUUCUGGACCCUGAGCAAGUUGGCCAUCUGAAUCAUCAGGAGAAGAAAGCCUGAUGAAGUGGAUCCACUGGGCACUGUAAGGAUAAUUUCUGCCAAAACUAAAUUUUGGUGGAGGACAUCUUCAAACACAGAGAAAAUUGGACCCUUUUUGUUUACUGUGGUUUAUUUUUACUGCCUUGAAAAACCUCAUCUCACACUUUUCCAAGCUGUGUAUUAAUACAUUGAAAACAACAUGUCUUAUCACAGAUCCCUAUGGAACUCCGCUGGUCACUUCCCCACACAGUAAGACAUUUUGGUUUAUUUCUGUAAUCUACUUCUUAUCUUUUCAAUCUCUGUGCAAGAAAUUUCUUUCUCAUACCAUAGCUGCUUUGUUUCCUCUAAAGUCUUUGAUGAGUGACAUUGCUAAUAGCUUUUUGGAAAUCCAAGUGCACUGCAGACAAUUUAUCACUUUACCAAGUACCUAAUCAGUUAUGCUUGAUAGUACAUAAAGGCAGCAUGGAAGUAUCUAAUGUACAAUGUUUUGUUAUAAACCUUUCAGUCUGUGUUGAUUAAUCUUUUUUUCUUUUUCUUUUUCUUUUUUGUUUUUUUCUUCCUGAGACUUCUCUCUGUUUUUAGCAGAUUACUCUAGGAUCAAUGUAGGAUCAAUGCCCUUUUUUUUUUUAUGACACAGAAUAUAAUUCUUAGAGCAUAGUAUUGGGUUUAGGCAGCAAGGUUUUGGUUGCUGGGAAGCUGUAAGGGUGGCCUCUGUGAGAAGAGACCAGGGAUUGCCCUGUGCCAAGCACAGCAGCUCUGCAAUGGACCUACUACAGGACACAGCUGAGCCUGCCAGUGAAGUUGAUGGUGCCUCUGUGUAAACAUAUUUAAGAAAGGGCAAAAUGCCACACAGCAGUGUGUGAGGAGUGAGGAGAAAUACGCAAAGUGUGAAAAACAGUCUUGUGAUUGUGAGGUCAGAGAAGAAGGAGGGGGAGGCAGCACUUCAAGAAGAUGUUCCUCUGCAGCCUGUGGAAGUUUUGUAAGAGGCCAGGGUGAAGCAGGUACUUCCCUGCAGCCCAUGGAGAGAACACAUCUGAGCUGAUGUCUACACUGUAGCCUGUGAAGACCCCAUGGUGGAGGUUUAUCCUGAAGGACUGCAUCCAUGCGAAGGCCCCUCAUUGGAGCAGGGGUGUGGUCUGAACAGUAGUGGAGUCUGAUAAGGUCAUAAACCAAACUUUAUUGAGGCAGUAAGAAAGAUGAGCAACAAUGUGCUCACACAGUGACUCACCCAAUCACCAACAGCAAACUCAAGGUUGUAAGUGAUAUCAUGGCUCCAGCAGACUAUCAGGAACACUUACUGUCUGGGUCAUCUGACCAGAACAGGCAUAGGUGCAAAUGUCUUUUGAAUGCGUAUAAAAGUUGCAUUAUACCUUCACUACAACAAUGGCAGAAAGACUUGAGAAAAUCAUAACUUACAUGGCAAUAGUGUGUCCUACACUUCAUCUCAGAAGAUGUGAGAGGCAUCUUGCCUACCUGGCAACGCUUGUCAAGGGGAAUAGGGUAAAAAGGAAGGAGUGUGACAGAAGAAUGGUUACCGACUGAUAGUAACCCCUACCUCCUACUCCUCCAGGCCACUUGAGUUGUGUGGGCAACGAGGAGGUUGGAUAUGGGACUGAAGGAGUGAAGUUGAACUUGAGAAAAAGGAGGCGGCAGAAAGGUUGGUUAGUGAUUUAUCUUUAUUUAUCCUCAUCCUAUUUUAUUUUUAGUUAGCUAUUUAUUAAAUAUAUUUUCCCCAAGUCAAACUUAUUUUGCCUGUAAUGGUAACUGGAAAGUAAUCUCCCCAUCUUUAUCUCAACCCACAAGCUUCUUUCAACUUAUUUUCUCCCCCAUCCUGCGAGGAGAGGAAAUGAGAGAGCAGCUGGGUGAGAGUCUGGCAGUUCACCAAAGCCAACCCACCACAGGCCUUUAGCAUUUUUGAUCAUAUUUUUAAUUUGAAAAUCAGCUAAAAUAAGGUUCAGUUACUCUUUUAGGCAUUCAGCAGUAUUGCAACAGAAAACCUCCAUAUGCAUUGACUGCAAGAGAAUUCUGUCUCUUCCUUCAUGCCACGUGAAGUACAAACUUUCUGGUUUCUAGAGUAAGUAUUCUGCAAUUUGAAGCCAGAUUUCUUACACAGAUCUAAAAUAUAUUAAGCCCCACAUCCUUCCACUUCCACUGUGAAAAAAAUCUGAAGUUUAUGUGGAAAACAAUGUGUUAGUGCAACUGCUGGAGAAAUGGAGUGACAUGAACCUCAUGAAGGAGAACAAAGGGAAGAGCAAAGUCCUGAACCUGGGAAAGAAUAACUUCCUCUGGCUGUACCUACAGACUAUGGGACGAGAUACUGGAAAGCAGCUCUGAGGAGAGGGAUCUGGGGGUUCUGGUCGAUAUCAAGCUGAACAUGAGCCAACAGUGUGCCCUGGCAGUCAAAAGGACCAACCGUGUCCUGGAGCGCAUCAAGCACAGCAUUGCCAGCUGCUUGAAGGAGGUGAUUGACCUGCUUGAAGGAUGUGAUUGACCUGCUCUGCUCUACAAUGGUGUGAUGUCCCCUGGAGCACUGUGUGCAGUUCUGGGCGCCACAGUAUAAAAAAAUAUAUAAAGCUACUAGAGAGUGUCCAGAAGAGGGCUACAAAGUUGGUAAAGGGUUUGUAGAGGAAGCCUCAUGAAGACCGGUUAAAGUCACUUGGUUUGAUCAGCCUGGAGAAGAGGAGACUUAGAGGAGACUUAGAGGAGACCUCAUUGCAGUCUAUAGCUUCCUCACAAAGGGAGGAAGAAUGGCAGGUGCCAAACUCUUCUCUUUAGUGACCUGUGACAGAACCCAAGGGAAUGGCAGGAAGAUGUGCCAGGGGAGGUUUAGGUUGGACAUUAGGAAAAGUUUAGGUUUAGGUUGGACAUAGGAAAAAGUGGUGGAGCAUGGAAACAGGCUCCCCAGGGAGGCAGUCAUGGCCCCAAGCCUGAGAGUGUUCCAGAAGCAAUUCAACACUGUCCUUGGACACAUGGUGUGAACUUUGGCGUUGUCAUAUGCAGGGACAGGAGUUGGACUCUAUGAUCCUUGUGGGUCCCUUCCAACUCAGGACAUUCUGUGAUUCCUGCACCGGUACAUUCUGGGGGCCAAAACUUUUCCAAACUGGCUGAAAAGGGGCUUGGCAAAAACUGACCUGGAGGCCUGUUUAAACUCAAUACUGUCAAAUAAAACUUUCUAGAAAAGAAUCAGUAUGAGGCAGAUAAUGAAAUGUAAAUGUUCACAGACCUGGCAAAUUAAAAGAGAUUGUUCCCAUUUUCAAGAAAUUUUGAAGAAGUCUGGGUAAACAACUAUAUAUAGCUACACUAGAGCUGUCCCAUGUUGUAUAUAACACAGACAUACAUAUAUAUAUAAUUUCUUAGAAGAAGGAAAAUUGUGACACUACUUUUUCUUCUUGCAAGGUAUUAUUGCUGCUAGUUAUACAUAGUGCUGUACGAAGAGUUCUAUGGCUGCUGGGGCAAAGCACUGAAUAAAACUUAACUAGACAAUGAAAAUCUUUAGUGCUGGAAUUAUUUACUUAAUAUAACCAUGUUAUCUUAACAUUGUGUUUUUGCCACUACACAGCUUCUUUUCAUAGAAGAUGAAACACAAUUAUAGGAUAUUAUCAAAUGUUAAAAGAUAAUAAUUAUGAAUAUAAUUUGUCCAAUGUAACUAAUUAAUUUUCAUUUUGUAAUAAUAAGUGAGGCAUUAUGAAGAAUUAUUACAUUUUUGGAAUAAAAAGAACACUCUGGGGUUCUGUUGUUAAUGUUGUUCUUAAUCAGUUUAAUUUUGUUUUCAAUAUAGCCAAAUAAAUUAGCAUAGCAAAUAAAGUGUUUAUUCCUUAAUAUCUAAGAGCAGCUGUCUUCACGUUUUCUAUCAUAUGUUUCACUCCCAAAAGGAAGGAGAAUAUUUUCUGCUUGCACAUUGCUGUUUUUUUGCAAAGACUCAGAGAAAACAGCAUUUUUUUCUAAUCUCAAAUAAAUGCACCCAGUACUUCCUCCCUUCAUUUCCUCCUUUCUGCUGUGUCUUGGCUGUGGCCUUUCACUGUCGGUUCUGGAAUUCCUCCACAUGGAAUUGCAAAAUCAAUAAUUAAUUAUUCUUGCAACAGUGAAAAUGUUGAAUUCCCAGAAAUAUGAAGGAUAUCAUUUUUAGGAAGGACAUUAGAACCUAUUUUUCUUUAUACUGGAAGUGCCAUUCCCUAAGUCUGAUUGUUUUUGUCUGUGUGUUUAUUUUUAUCUGAGAGAAAUCUUUCUCAUCUUGAGGUCAUGAUUGAAAAAGCUGAGAAUACAAUUAGCAACUUAAUCAAGUUGUUCAUCAUCAUAAUCAAAAGAGAUUUGCAGGCAAAUGGGAGCAGAACAUUCAACACAAAGGUAGAAAAGGAAAGACAAGGAAGAUUAUUUGCCUUUUUAAAUUUUUUUUCUUUUUUUUUUCAGAUGUGCUUUUUAAAAGCUGUUAAAACCUUAAAGGCAACCCACACUCUUACAAAUAUAAACAAAUAUCUGUGAACAGAACAGGAGAAUGUAAAAACAGUGUCUCAAGUCAGAAUGAAUACAGGUGGUACCCUGAAUCUGUUUACCCUUUUUGAAAGAAUUAAUAAUAAAUUCAAAAUGUUACAUGCCCCAGAGAUUAACAGUUUCAAAAUAAAAUUCCUACUAAUUCUCAGAUCAGUCUAUUAUUGGGAUGUAAUACAAAUGUUGCAGUUACACUAGGUUAUUUACACUGCAUAAUUUGGUGACUACCUUUUUAACACAUAGCUCACUUUGUGGAAUAGGGAAGAGAAAAUGUCAUUUUCUUCCCUUUAUGUUUUAGUGGCUGCAAAUCUUCAAGAAAACGAAACACUGUAUCAGGUCAAAGUAUAAAAUGUCGGUAUUAGUAAUGAGAUGGUUCUUAAAGAUAAUCAGUACCACUAAUAGUUUUGAAGUCCAUUAAAACAAAUCUCUGGAGCUUCUUGGCUGUUUGCCAGAUCAAUGCUAUGAUAAUAUCUAUAUCAACACUUCUUGUCAAUUGAACAUACACAUUAUCACCUAAUUAAUAAGGGUGUGGAAGCCGUUUGAGUUUAUUUUACUUUCCUUUAUGCUAAUAUGUCCACAUUUAUUACUGUUCAUCUUACGUUUUCUUCAAACUCUUCGCUUACUUGUUUAUACUAGGGUAUUUAAUAAAAAUAGCCAUUCAUUUUGUAGUCCUUUGCAUUCACUAUGACAAAAUUAAUCAGCAUAAUAUCAAAAACUCCUAAGGAGACAUUUCUGACAAUCAAAAUCCUCAGAAAGCUCACCAAUUUUCAUGUAACAUAUGGUUCCCAUUCACAUUCACAUUCUAAUCCAAGUAGUAGGCUGUUCCAUUUAGGAAACGCAGCCUGGGCAGAGGCAGGAUUGGACAGGCUGGAUCAAAGGACUGAAGCCAAUUGUAUGAGAUUCAAAAAGACUAAAUGCCGUGUUGUGGCGGAUGCCCCUCGACCCGUCUCCCUGGCGCCAGCCAAACCAGCAGCAGUUAGGUCCAGACUCCAGAGGAGAUAAG
Long non-coding RNA from Columba livia (rock pigeon), 24878 nucleotides. RefSeq lists it as uncharacterized. The transcript is spliced from 4 exons. The record is from RefSeq and is a predicted model, not a curated record. Lineage: Eukaryota; Metazoa; Chordata; Aves; Columbiformes; Columbidae.